GCAUUGGUGGUUCAGUGGUAGAAUUCUCACCUUUCAUGAGGGAGACUCAGGUUUGAUUCUUGGCCAAUUCU
This 71-nucleotide transfer RNA is filed under the name Loxodonta africana (African savanna elephant). It matches the Rfam family "tRNA". From Rfam's summary of the family: Transfer RNA (tRNA) molecules are approximately 80 nucleotides in length. Their secondary structure includes four short double-helical elements and three loops (D, anti-codon, and T loops). Further hydrogen bonds mediate the characteristic L-shaped molecular structure. tRNAs have two regions of fundamental functional importance: the anti-codon, which is responsible for specific mRNA codon recognition, and the 3' end, to which the tRNAs corresponding amino acid is attached (by aminoacyl-tRNA synthetases). tRNAs cope with the degeneracy of the genetic code in two manners: having more than one tRNA (with a specific anti-codon) for a particular amino acid; and 'wobble' base-pairing, i.e. permitting non-standard base-pairing at the 3rd anti-codon position. The record is from Rfam by way of RNAcentral. Lineage: Eukaryota; Metazoa; Chordata; Mammalia; Proboscidea; Elephantidae.